AAUUUAUAUAUUUUAUAUUUUAAGAUAGAUGGUUAAAUCUUAAUGUAUUUUUCCAUUUUUAGUGUAAAGCGGCAAUGUUUAAUAGAAGAACUUGGACAAAUAGUCAAAUAGUUAUAUUUAUGUUUUUUUUCUUUUUUUAUAUAAUGGUAAUGUUACAUUAUGGAGAUAAGCCGUUUUUUUAGUGAAAAUUGUAAGCUUACAUAUGUUUAAUGUAGUUUUUCUAUUUUUUUUAUGUUGUGUGUUUACAUAUUAUUGUUAUUUUUAAAUGUAAAAUGGUAAUCUUACAUAUGUUUAAUGUAGUAUUUCCAUUUUUUAUGUUGUAUGUUUACAUAUUAUUUAUUAUUUUCGAAAUUAUAUAUAAUGUUUUUUUACAAAAUAGUAAUAUUACAUUAUGGAGAUAAUCCGUUUUUUUUAGUGAAAAAUGGUAAUCUUACAUAUGUUUAAUUAAUGUAGUUUUUCCAUUAUUUAUGUUGUAUGUUUACAUAUUAUUAUUUUUAAAUAAAAAUGUAAAAUGGUAAUCUUACAUAUGUUUAAUGUAGUAUUUCUAUUUUUUUAUGUUGUAU
Molecule: long non-coding RNA, 563 nt
Filed under: Brassica rapa (field mustard)
Lineage: Eukaryota; Viridiplantae; Streptophyta; Magnoliopsida; Brassicales; Brassicaceae
Description: long non-coding RNA (BRAP_LNC003935)
Source: RNAcentral